This 88-nucleotide transfer RNA is filed under the name Streptomyces ambofaciens. Its description in RNAcentral is "tRNA-Ser". It matches the Rfam family "tRNA". From Rfam's summary of the family: Transfer RNA (tRNA) molecules are approximately 80 nucleotides in length. The record is from RNAcentral. RNAcentral also lists the same sequence under 3392 other names. Lineage: Bacteria; Bacillati; Actinomycetota; Actinomycetes; Kitasatosporales; Streptomycetaceae.
GGAGGAUUCGCCUAGUGGCCUAGGGCGCACGCUUGGAAAGCGUGUUGGGGGCAACCCCUCACGAGUUCGAAUCUCGUAUCCUCCGCCA